UAUAUGUGAUGAUUUAUUUUUUUUUAUUUUCAAUAGAUGAUGCACUCAAAAUAUAUUUUGAGUCCAUUAAUUUAUUGUGGAGAAUUUAACACUGAAGUGUUAAAUAUGAAUCUUUUAUCGAUUGUUUACUUAAGCCCAUGAGUAAUUUAAUUUAUGUUAGAGGCAAGCUCAAGUGAAUUUUAUGCUUCAAUGAGAAUUAGGCUUAUAUAUCUUAAUGUGUUUAUAUGAGAUUAAGCACAUAUGGUUCUCAUUCAUCCACAUCCCUCUCAUUCUUCUAUUAAACCAAUCACCAAUACGUUCACAAUUUUCUUCACCUACUACUUCACAAUUUUCUUCACCAAUACGUUCACAAUUUUCUUCACCUACUACUUCACAAUUUUCUUCACCAAUACGUUCACAAUUUUCUUCACCUACUACUUCACAAUUUUCUUCACCUCUAAAGUCAAUCUCCAAAUAGAAUUUUGCUUCUUUAAAACCUAUUCCACUAUCUCAACUCACCCAUUCCCACCUCUGCAGCAAGUUUUAUAAAGUAAUAGAGUGAAGAUUAUUCAUCUCAUUCAAUUCUUUUUCACAAUUGGCUUCUAAUCUAUGCCAUAUAUAAAAUCUGCAGAGACUAAUACCAUACACCUAUUCAAGGUAUUCCCGUUUCUAUUAUAUUAUGUGAAAUUUCUGGGGUAUAGAUGGGAGUGUGGUGAAUAUUUGUACAAAGUUUCAUGUUAUUUGAACUUCGUUUACUACCCUUUUAAAAUUUGAGAAGUCUACUGCCCGUAUCUGUUGAAACUGUCGUGAGGCAGAUGAUUAAGUUAACUAUUUCAGUAACCAUAUGUUGAUAUUUAGCUCUCAAAUUUUUAUGGUAUAAAUUUAUAUGCGUUAUCUAUCUGCAUAUAAAAUUUGGGGUCAUUCCGGAAACGUUUGCUAUUUUUCAAAGAUCUGGACUUUCAGUUGGCAGAAACUGCCGAAUCUGGUAGGCGAUGGGAAAAUCGCUAUAUCUCUUAAACUACUUGGAGUUUUUCAACACACUUUUUUUUCAAUUAAACUAGACUCAAAGAGGUUUCUAUUGAAAUAAAAUUCGACUCCAUACGAGUUCGGAGUAAAAGCAGUUUAUUAGUUGAAGUUGAAUCUAUACAGUUUUGUUGAGAUGGAAAUGAUUCAAAAUAAUUCCUAUUAAGGAUUUUAAAGUUUUAUUGUUGAUAAAAUAUCACUUUUAGUUUAUAAAUGAGCUAUUGAUGUGUAUGUAUAUAUAUUGGAGAUUGGCAUUAUUAAAUGGGGAAAAGGAAAACGUUUUAUGUUUAUAGAAUUAUUCUUUAUUUAUAAUAGAUAAAUAAAUGAAUAAAAUGGAAUUUCCUACAUCCUCAAAGGUACAUGAAGUAUUUUGAUAAAGGAAGAACGAUUGUAUAUGAGUUAGAUAUAGUCGUUUAAGGAAAUAUGGGUAGUUAGAGAAAUGAGUGAAUAAGUGAUUCACUGCAUUUGUUGUUAUCUUUUCUAUUAUUCACUCGAACACAUGUUUUCGUGUUAUCAAAGGUUCAAAUAAACAAAAGCGUCUGAGUAACCUAUCGCGCUAAGGAAAGAGAAUCGUUGUCUUAAGUAGCAAAACACUGCAAUCAGGUUGAGCUGAUGUGAUGAUGGUGCUGCAAUGAGCGGAGUCUCCAAGGUUGUUAAUAAAUAGUUAACCUGUCUAGAAUAUGUCUUCAUACAUAUGUCUAGCUACUUUCCGCUGCAAGAUGUUGUUGAUGUUAUAGUAUGUUAUGUCAUACUUUGAGUCUUAAGAGAAUGGUUUCAUAUGAUGUAUAACUUGAUUAAUGAUAUUAAUUAAGUUUUAUGCUGUC
Salvia miltiorrhiza (redroot sage) is the source of this 1826-nucleotide long non-coding RNA. RefSeq lists it as uncharacterized. The transcript is spliced from 2 exons. NCBI's taxonomy places the organism in Eukaryota, Viridiplantae, Streptophyta, Magnoliopsida, Lamiales, Lamiaceae. The record is from RefSeq and is a predicted model, not a curated record.